Molecule: long non-coding RNA, 1329 nt
Organism: Medicago truncatula (barrel medic)
Lineage: Eukaryota; Viridiplantae; Streptophyta; Magnoliopsida; Fabales; Fabaceae
Exons: 2
Source: RefSeq, a predicted model, not a curated record
UAUCUCUAACUUUUUCACUUCUGAUUUUGAUUAAUUUAAUUGAUUAUGAAUUAGUAUUUGAUUCUUGCUUUUAACUAACUUUAUGAAUCAGUAGUUAAAUUUGAUAUUAAAUUGAUUCAUUAAUAAAAUGUGGUCUCAUCUUUGUGAUAAUUUGUUCUAAGGCAAGGGUUUAAAACAAAAAGAUUAUCAAAAAGGAUUUAUGACUUGUUUGGACUGGCUUAUUUGAGCUUAUCUACUGACUUAUGUUAUGUGAGGUUGUUCAAGAGAACUUAUGAAAGUAAUUUAUGACAGUUUUCAAAACCUUUUUUCAUAAGUUCUCUAAUAUAGCUUAUAAAAACAACUUACAGCAUAUACGAGAAUAAUUUAAUUUAAUUUUAUCUUUUGCUAUAGAUAAAUUAUGUGAACUUAUACGUAAGUUCUUAUCAUGAUAAGUUAUUUAUCCAAACAUGCCCUUAGUGUAUUUAUUUAUGAUAAUCUCUUUCACUCACAGUCAAUACUUGACAUGCUAUUACAGGAUGUACACAAGAUGGUCUAGUUGCAAUUGAGGAAUUAUUAUAUUGACUCUAGUUCUUCUAGCUGAGUUAUAUUAAAUCUUGGAGUUGAUUAGUUAUAUGAAUCACCUUCUAAAUUGUGUUGUCAAUUAGGAUCCUAGGUAGUGGCACUUUCCAGUUUGGUUGUUUGGAGUCAAAAUAUUAUAUAUGAAUAAUAUCGAAACUGAUUUUUUAUGUUGUUAAAGUAUGAUGGACUUCUAGAAGUGACUCACUUAUUUGUUAGUUAUUUAUUUUUCAAAUCUCAAUCAUGUAUGAUUUUCAUUUGAUAUGUUGAUGCUAUGGACAAUUUAGACAUCAGAAGCAAUUUUAUUAUGUUGGAGUCAAUUAUAAUUUUUUAGUUUUGGUAUUUGCUAGGCACCUCAAUCACGUAGACAACUAAUGACUCUUACAAUGGUGAAACUUUUGGAUCUUUGGAAUCUACAAGUGAGGGCAGGGGAGAAGAGGAAAGAAAGAUGACAGAGAACUUGAUAUAGUCCUCUUGCUUGUAGUUUUUUUUGGUGGCAAAGGAGUUAUGGAAAAUGUGCUUGUAGUUAAUCUUGGUUUAUCAUUAUAGAAUUUCUUUCAGAUGUGUUUUAGCUGCAAGCUGUUAAAGUAUUAAGUUGUGCCAACAUUGUGUAAUAGCAUAGAUUUUUGGAUUUAUUUGAAGUCAUUGGACUAGGUUAGGUGUAGAUCAAUUUCUGUAGUAAGUGCGAAUUCAUGACAAGGUUUAGAUUUUGUGGAUGGUUUUAUCUACAAGUUGGUAUGAAAUUAAAGUUCUAUGUUGAUAUUUUGUGUUAAA